RNAcentral lists this ribosomal RNA (515 nucleotides) under uncultured Flavobacteriaceae bacterium. RNAcentral describes it as "bacterial SSU rRNA". It matches the Rfam family "Bacterial small subunit ribosomal RNA", at positions 523 to 1045 of the family's 1533-position model. Lineage: Bacteria; Pseudomonadati; Bacteroidota; Flavobacteriia; Flavobacteriales; Flavobacteriaceae. The record is from RNAcentral.
AUACGGAGGAUCCAAGCGUUAUCCGGAAUCAUUGGGUUUAAAGGGUCCGUAGGUGGAUAAUUAAGUCAGAGGUGAAAGUUUGCGGCUCAACCGUAAAAUUGCCUUUGAUACUGGUUAUCUUGAAUCAUUGUGAAGUGGUUAGAAUAUGUAGUGUAGCGGUGAAAUGCAUAGAUAUUACAUAGAAUACCAAUUGCGAAGGCAGAUCACUAACAAUGCAUUGACACUGAUGGACGAAAGCGUAGGUAGCGAACGGGAUUAGAUACCCCGGUAGUCUACGCCGUAAACGAUGGAUACUAGCUGUUGGACUUCGGUUCAGUGGCUAAGAGAAAGUGAUAAGUAUCCCACCUGGGGAGUACGUUCGCAAGAAUGAAACUCAAAGGAAUUGACGGGGGCCCGCACAAGCGGUGGAGCAUGUGGUUUAAUUCGAUGAUACGCGAGGAACCUUACCAGGGCUUAAAUGUAGAUUGACAGGUUUAGAGAUAGACUUUUCUUCGGACAAUUUACAAGGUGCUGCA